Molecule: long non-coding RNA, 207 nt
Filed under: Elaeis guineensis (African oil palm)
Lineage: Eukaryota; Viridiplantae; Streptophyta; Magnoliopsida; Arecales; Arecaceae
Description: long non-coding RNA (EGUI_LNC033884)
Source: RNAcentral
UCACAUGUAACAUAAGGAGCUCACGUGAAUUUCAUUUAGCAAUGUCACUUGUAUUGUCUUCUAACUUAUAUUAAUAUUAAUCUUGUAUGACUAUAAUGCAAGCUAAUGCUACUACUGAUAGGCGAAUAGCUUUUGUAGCUACUGGAGGUACUUUGAGUGGUAGGGUAAGAGGACUUGGAAAAGGUGCUAGAGGUGCUUCGAGUGGCA